CUUGAUUCAAUCGUAGCAUCGACCAAUAGAAUUCCAAGACGAAAAAUCUCCUACCAAAUUUCCUUUGACUUUUUCUCCAUUUGGACCAAUUACCUUUCUCUGCCUCCCAAACACCACCACCCCCCGUUGGAUACUUUUCUUCCUCAGCCGUAGAUUUGCGUUUCCUCUGUUUCAUUGCUUUUAUCUUCGAUCUCCAACAUUACCGUCUUCUGUUCCUCUGCUCCCUUCGUUUCUCCUCUGGUACGACGUUCGAGGUAUAAAUUAAAAGCACAAUCCUUUUUUUAAUUCAUUUUUCCCUCUAAAACAUAUAAAUAAUAUCUGCACUUUUAAUCAUAUUUAUCCUUUUUUUAAAAAAAGAAAAAAAUCUCAAUCUCUCAUUUUCGGUUGACUGGUGUGGGUUUGCCUUAGAUAAUACGUUUCUUGCUUGUUUGCUUCUUGAUAUUAUGAUAAGAUGGUUGUUUGUUGUCAUUUCAUUUGCAACCGUAGAAUCGGAUUUGAUUGCUUGGAAAUCAUUAUUAAUUUUUCAGCAAACGACUAUAUUGAAUUCAAUGAUUGGAUGGUUCUGUCGAGGGUGAAAUUUUUCCAUCUUGAAAUGUAAUAAGAAGAAUUUUGUUGAGUGAUUAGUACAAAUGUGAUUAGAUGAAUCAAUACGGUUGGAAUUCUUAUGUUCAACUCUGGAAAGAUGGGUAUUAACAGAUACAGUCACAUAUUGCAGUUGUGCUGAGGAGACAANNNN
This 736-nucleotide long non-coding RNA is filed under the name Carica papaya (papaya). RNAcentral describes it as "long non-coding RNA (CPAP_LNC008067)". The record is from RNAcentral. Lineage: Eukaryota; Viridiplantae; Streptophyta; Magnoliopsida; Brassicales; Caricaceae.